RNAcentral lists this transfer RNA (66 nucleotides) under Trichopsidea sp. Its description in RNAcentral is "tRNA-Pro". The record is from RNAcentral. Lineage: Eukaryota; Metazoa; Arthropoda; Insecta; Diptera; Nemestrinidae.
CAAGGAAUAGUUUAUAAAAAAAUAUUAAUUUUGGGGAUUGAUGAUAAAGAAUUUCUUUUUCCUUGA